This 725-nucleotide long non-coding RNA is filed under the name Mus musculus (house mouse). RNAcentral describes it as "long non-coding RNA chr2:85653328-85654053". The record is from RNAcentral. Lineage: Eukaryota; Metazoa; Chordata; Mammalia; Rodentia; Muridae.
AUCCUAUCUCCCCUGUCUUCUCUGAGACUUAAGUAUUCCUCUGUCUAUAUCGUAAGAUCCUAGUAAAACCUGUAUCUCUGAAGUCAAAAGCAUCUCCUUGCUAGAUGUCUGUUUCAGUUCUUCUCUGCUGGAUUGGGUGCCAUGGCUUAUGAUUUCUAUGCCAUCAUCUCUAAUCCACUGCUGUAUGCUCAAUCUAUGUCAAAGAAGUUGUACAUCUACUUACUUGUAUAUUCCUAUAAGGAGUGAUGUCAACACAAUAAAUGUUAUUAACAAGCAACACAUUCACGUUGAACUUUUAUGGUGACAGUGUCUUUGAUGAUUUUUUUUUUCUGAGAUGUCUGGUGAGGUUGGCAUGGGAUAUUAAGAAGAGUUACAAGUUUGCACUGUACUUCCUUCUAACAUGUAAUGUCAUUACUCUUACCCUGUUUAUCUUGGCUUUCUAGAUCUUCAUCAUUGCUGCCAUUUUGAGGAGCCAAUCCACUGAGAUUACUUCCUUGUUUUUUUUACACCUGCUUCUCACACCUUAUCUCUGUGACCUUAUAUCAUGAAUCCAUUCUCCACAUAUACUCUUGCCCAAGUUUUAGAUACUCCCUAAAGAGGGACAGACUGGUGUCUACCUUUUAUAUUCUAUUAUUUCCCAUGCUGGAUACCAUGGACUACAGACUAAGGAAUAAAGAUAUAUAGGAAGCUCUGAGAAAACUCUUCAAGUUAUCUCAUUCUGAAGU